RNAcentral lists this long non-coding RNA (309 nucleotides) under Trifolium pratense (red clover). RNAcentral describes it as "long non-coding RNA (TPRA_LNC010688)". Lineage: Eukaryota; Viridiplantae; Streptophyta; Magnoliopsida; Fabales; Fabaceae. The record is from RNAcentral.
UCGUAUCCGCAGGGAUUGUUUCAAUCUCGACAAAACAAUUAAAUUAAUUUAGGAUUAAUAAUUAAAAUGCAAAGGGGGGAGUUUAACUUGGUUUGAAUUUUUAUCAUAAACUUAUAAAUAACUUGGGAUUCAGAUUGAAUGAAAGAAAAACGAUUGAUCCUUUUGGUUCAUCUAAUUACUACUUCUCUUGGUAAUUUCAUGUAUGAUUACAAAUUUACUCAAUUUAGUUUCAUGAUUAGAUUAAAUCUCAAAUGAUUAUGUCCAAUGUCUUGGUAACACAAUCCUCUCCCUUGAUCAUCAAUUCCUAAU